Danionella cerebrum is the source of this 75-nucleotide non-coding RNA. The record is from the annotation of a GenBank genome assembly. Lineage: Eukaryota; Metazoa; Chordata; Actinopteri; Cypriniformes; Danionidae.
GCUUUCCGGUGGCUCAGUCAGUAGAGCAUUGCACUAGCCACACCAAGGUCAUAGGUUCGAACCCAAGGGAAAGUA